RNAcentral lists this ribosomal RNA (253 nucleotides) under uncultured bacterium. Its description in RNAcentral is "partial 16S ribosomal RNA". It matches the Rfam family "Bacterial small subunit ribosomal RNA", at positions 524 to 776 of the family's 1533-position model. The record is from RNAcentral.
UACGUAGGGAGCAAGCGUUGUCCGGAAUCAUUGGGCGUAAAGCGCGCGUAGGCGGCCCGGUAAGUCCGCUGUAAAAGUCCAGGGCUCAACCCUGGAAAGCCGGUGGAUACUGUCGGGCUAGAGUCCGGAAGAGGCGAGUGGAAUUCCUGGUGUAGCGGUGGAAUGCGCAGAUAUCAGGAAGAACACCAAUGGCGAAGGCAGCUCUCUGGGACGGUACUGACGCUGAGACGCGAAAGCGUGGGGAGCGAACAGG